Molecule: non-coding RNA, 325 nt
Organism: Callorhinus ursinus (northern fur seal)
Lineage: Eukaryota; Metazoa; Chordata; Mammalia; Carnivora; Otariidae
Source: RefSeq, a predicted model, not a curated record
AAAAUUCAAUUUAAAAGAAAGGCAGACUGGCACGUGCAGCGCCUCAUUUGGAUGUGUCUGGAGUAUUAGAAGCUUGACUACCCUACGUUCUCCUACAAAUGGACCUUGAGAGCUUGUUUGGAGGUUCUAGCAGGGGAGCAGCUACUCGUAUACCCUUGACCAAAGAACAUUCCUCCUCUAUCGGGGAAGGUCGUGCUCUUCGACCAAGCGCGCAGCUUUGGGAGGGAUGCACAUGGAGCGGUGAGGGAGGAAGGGGACACCCACCUAGCCAGCCAGAUCAGCUAAAUCAACCCUGGCAAUCAAUGGGGUGCCAGAUGUCGCAGCG